AGGACGAACGCUGGCGGCGUGCUUAACACAUGCAAGUCGAACGGUAAGGCCUUUCGGGGUACACGAGUGGCGAACGGGUGAGUAACACGUGGGUGAUCUGCCCUGCACUUUGGGAUAAGCCUGGGAAACUGGGUCUAAUACCGAAUAUGACCAUGGGAUGCAUGUCUCGUGGUGGAAAGCUUUUGCGGUGUGGGAUGGGCCCGCGGCCUAUCAGCUUGUUGGUGGGGUUACGGCCUACCAAGGCGACGACGGGUAGCCGGCCUGAGAGGGUGUCCGGCCACACUGGGACUGAGAUACGGCCCAGACUCCUACGGGAGGCAGCAGUGGGGAAUAUUGCACAAUGGGCGAAAGCCUGAUGCAGCGACGCCGCGUGAGGGACGAAGGCCUUCGGGUUGUAAACCUCUUUCAGCACAGACGAAGCGCAAGUGACGGUAUGUGCAGAAGAAGGACCGGCCAACUACGCGCCAGCAGCCGCGGUAA
This 480-nucleotide ribosomal RNA is filed under the name uncultured bacterium. RNAcentral describes it as "SSU rRNA". It matches the Rfam family "Bacterial small subunit ribosomal RNA", at positions 26 to 523 of the family's 1533-position model. The record is from RNAcentral.